Molecule: RNA transcript, 1398 nt
Organism: Brassica napus (rape)
Lineage: Eukaryota; Viridiplantae; Streptophyta; Magnoliopsida; Brassicales; Brassicaceae
Gene name: peptide deformylase 1A, chloroplastic/mitochondrial-like
Exons: 3
Source: RefSeq, a predicted model, not a curated record
ACGACCAUGGAAACCCUUUUCAGAGUCUCACUUCGUCUUCUCCCGGUUUGUCACGGCGCAAUCCGUUUCCCCGUUUCCCCGUUUCAACACCCGGUUCCUCCCACUUGCUGAACCGUAGUCUGUAUAAGUUCUCUUCUUCUUCGGCUUCCUCCUCUGUGAAGACAAAUGCAGGUUGGCUGUUGGGUCUGGGGGACAAGAAGAAGAAGCCAACGAAUAUACCGGAUAUCGUAGCGGCUGGAGAUCCGGUUCUGCACGAGAAGGCCCGAGAGGUUGACCCGGAUGAAAUCGGGUCGGAGCGUAUUCACAAGAUAAUUGAUGAUAUGGUCAAAGUUAUGAGAUUGGCUCCUGGUGUUGGCCUCGCCGCUCCUCAGAUUGGUAUCCCCUUAAGAAUUAUUGUUUUGGAAGAUACUAAAGAGUAUAUAAGUUACGCACCAAAGGAGGAGGUUCUUGCUCAAGAAAGGCGUCCUUUUGAUCUCUUGGUGAUGGUGAAUCCGGAGCUUAAGGGGGUUAGCAACAAGAAAGCUCUCUUCUUUGAAGGAUGUCUGAGUGUGGAUGGAUUCAGAGGUGCGGUGGAGAGAUACCUUGAAGUGGAAGUCACAGGCUACGAUCGUCAAGGGAAGAGAAUCGAAGUGAAUGCUUCAGGUUGGCAAGCGAGGAUUCUGCAGCACGAGUGCGAUCAUUUGGAUGGUAAUCUUUAUGUGGAUAAGAUGAUACCACGCACUUUUAGGACAGUCGACAACUUGGACUUGCCUCUCGCAGAAGGCUGUCCUAAACUCGGGCCUCAAUGACCCAGACAGACGGAUUCUUCGACAGAAGUUUGUUAAUGUAAUUUUUGAUUCUUAAACAUGGGAGCUUAAUAUAAAAAAAAAAAACAUGGGAGCUUAAUAUAAAAAGUUUUUUGGGAUUUAAGAUUUUUUUUAUUCAUUUACGAUAAGACCACACCACAAAUUAAGACAGCUAUUUAAUAGUUGGAAAUGAGUCAUCUCGCUCGAUCUGAAAAAGACACGGCGGCGAAGGCGUGAAAUGCGGCGGUGAAAUGGCCCCUCAGAUCAACCAAAUAUAAAACUAGAGCUUAAAUUUAAGUUAAUUAAACAAUAAAUAAAAAGGAAAGAUCUAAUCACAGCCGUCCGUUUUCCAAUCAACGGACAAACCCAUGCCGGGAAUUUUAUCUCUGGAACACACUUCAAUCUAAAAUUCGGACAGAGAUUGUGGAACGAACCCAUGUCGGAAAGUCGGUUUGAUUUAUACAGAAAUUAUAUCUUGAUAGCUAAUUUACAAAUCACCCAGAAAAAAUCAUAAGUAUCACAAUCUAUAAAGCUUAACCGGAGGAAAUCCAGAAGAGAAAUAAAGAUUGUAUCAGAGAGCCACACAGAGAAAUACAAAAAAAAAAGAAGAAGA